This 494-nucleotide ribosomal RNA is filed under the name uncultured bacterium. RNAcentral describes it as "partial 16S ribosomal RNA". It matches the Rfam family "Bacterial small subunit ribosomal RNA", at positions 28 to 507 of the family's 1533-position model. The record is from RNAcentral.
GACGAACGCUGGCGGCGUGCUUAACACAUGCAAGUCGAACGGAAAGGCCUGCUUUCCCUUGUGGAUUGCGGGUACUCGAGUGGCGAACGGGUGAGUAACACGUGAGUGAUCUGCCCCCAACUUGUGUAUAAGCCUGGGAAACUGGGUCUAAUUCCCGAUAGGACUGCAGGGUGGUGCCUGUGGUGGAAAACGAUUUUCUAGUGGUCGGGGAUGAGCUCGCGGCCUAUCAGCUUGUUGGUGGGGUAAUGGCCUACCAAGGCGGCGACGGGUAGCCGGCCUGAGAGGGUGGACGGCAACAUUGGGACGGGGAUACGGCCCAGACUCCUACGGGAGGCAGCAGUGGGGAAUAGUGCACAAUGGGCGGAAGCCUGAUGCAGCGACGCCGCGUGGGGGAUGACGGCCUUCGGGUGGUAAACUCCUGUCGGCCGCGAGGAAGCCACCUGGUUGGAAGGGUGGUGACGGUAGUGGUAGAAGAAGCACCGGCUAACUACGUG